AUUGAACGCUGGCGGCAUGCCUUACACAUGCAAGUCGAACGGUAACAGGUCUUCGGAUGCUGACGAGUGGCGAACGGGUGAGUAAUACAUCGGAACGUGCCUAGUAGUGGGGGAUAACUACUCGAAAGAGUGGCUAAUACCGCAUGAGAUCUACGGAUGAAAGCAGGGGAUCGCAAGACCUUGUGCUACUAGAGCGGCCCACGGCAGAUUAGGUAGUUGGUGGGAUAAAAGCUUACCAAGCCGACGAGCUGUAGCUGGUCUGAGAGGACGAUCAGCCACACUGGGACUGAGACACGGCCCAGACUCCUACGGGAGGCAGCAGUGGGGAAUUUUGGACAAUGGGCGCAAGCCUGAUCCAGCAAUGCCGCGUGCAGGAUGAAGGCCUUCGGGUUGUAAACUGCUUUUGUACGGAACGAAAAGCCCCGGGUUAAUACCCUGGGGUCAUGACGGUACCGUAAGAAUAAGCACCGGCUAACUACGUGCCAGCAGCCGCAGUAA
This 498-nucleotide ribosomal RNA is filed under the name uncultured bacterium. Its description in RNAcentral is "partial 16S ribosomal RNA". It matches the Rfam family "Bacterial small subunit ribosomal RNA", at positions 30 to 523 of the family's 1533-position model. The record is from RNAcentral.